RNAcentral lists this unclassified non-coding RNA (1701 nucleotides) under Hevea brasiliensis (rubber tree). Lineage: Eukaryota; Viridiplantae; Streptophyta; Magnoliopsida; Malpighiales; Euphorbiaceae. The record is from RNAcentral.
GGAUUUCUUGCUUUGCAGUCCACCCCUAGGACACCUUCCAUUGUGCAAAUUUGUGUUAAAGUGGGCAGAUUACUAAAACAGAGGAAAAAGAAAACCAAGCUCAUCUCAGAGCUUUUUGAUUUCUCCCCGUAACUCUCCCGAGUCGAUAAGAGAAAAAAGAUCUCAAAAGGGAAACGAUCAAAUUCUCCAGUUAUGUCUGGAAGGCAAAUCGAAGAGCCCGUAGAUAGUGACAUUUGCCUCGUGAACUCUUACCAUCAGAACUUAAUUCAAGGUACUCCAGUGUCUCCCUGCACCAUGGUUUCUCCUGAUGAUUUACCUCCGUUUCUUGAACAUAUUCUUGAGGAAUAAGCAGCUUUUAAGGGGAUCAAUUGAUUUCUUUUGGGUUGAGUUAUCUUAUGGGAUGUAUGUUUUUCAUAUCUACAUUGUAUUUGUUUUGUCUCUUGUGUGGUUUUAUGUCGGUGUCCUUAGGUUUUCUGAUUUGGUUUAUUGCCUUCCAGGAGUUUGUCAUUUUGUUUUAGUUAGUUUUCGCUGUUGGUCUUUUGGUCCUUCGGUGGUGUCAUUUUGUUCUUGGCUUUGCCUGCGGUAGUUUAAUUUGUGUCAUGUACCUUCUGUUGUUCUCUUCUUAUUUUAUAUUUUCUAUUCCCUGCUUAAAAAUUGGUGAUUGCCGAUUUGGCUUUGGAGCAACAAUUGUUUUUGGGUUUCAGUGGCUUGGUUCUUCUUUGGUGGGCUUCGGUUGUGAGGGUGGAUUUUGAGCUAGUCAGCUUGUUCAUCAUCUUCGGACAACUCUUUUUUAUUUUGGUGGUAGCUUUGUUUCGCAAGUGUUUUAUGGUGGUCAUCUGACUCUCAUUCCUUUUAGUUCUUUUAGGCCCUUCUUCUUGUCAAGCUUAAUGGAUGCUCGAAAAAGAUGAGUAAGAAGGUGUAUUUGACUUCAGUUUUUUAUUUUUUUAUUUUGCUUUGUCGUUGUUUUUUGGCUGGCACUCUUCAAAGGAAAUUGUUGGUUGUAAUUUGGCUGUCUCUCCCUAGUGCGAGUGUGUCCCCUGAAGAGCCACAAUUGGGAAGUUUGUUGUUAGUUAAGGAGGCUUAGAAAUGGCAAUUGUAAGGUCAUGUAGUAGUAGCUAGAAGCAAAAAGAAGUGAUAAGCUUGAGGGCUGAGAGAUUCUUCUUGGAUGAAAGUUCAAGAUGAGAAGUGUUAUGCUACCAAGGUAUCAGGCAUCUUCAAUUGAAAUGAGUGGGCUGGGUUUGGAAGCAAGUUUUUUUUGAAGUUUAUAUUAGGAUAGCUGUAAGUCUUGUGUCAUUUGAUUGCCUAAGUGUAGCUAGGUUAUGUUUUUUGGGUUGCUUUGUUUCUUGGUGAAGUAUUCUCCAUUUUAUCAUGCAACAUCUCAUAGAAGUUUUAUGGGUGGUAAUACACUAUGUUAUAUUCUCCUAAUUCAAUAAAAAUUCUUGCUUAUCAAAAGAACGGCAGGAAUCUUUAGGUUCACCGUACUUUUACUUUUGAUUUUGAUUUGUUUCUGUUUACCUGCAGACCUAGUAAUAAAUACAAGACUUGAGAUGGGUUUCCAGUUAACUUCUAUGUUUAUCUCAAUCGCAUUUUUUCGCAUCCAUUUUCUAUUGGAUUUUGUAUAUUUCCUUUUUGGAUUCCUUGCAGGAAAUAUUAACAUACACUUAGACACCCAUUCAAUCUACAAAAGAGCAGUCAGUUUCC